UUAGGUUCUAGCGAGCCCAACCUCCCACCCGUGUUUACUGUACCUUAGUUGCUUCGGCGGGCCCGCCAUUCAUGGCCGCCGGGGGCUCUCAGCCCCGGGCCCGCGCCCGCCGGAGACACCACGAACUCUGUCUGAUCUAGUGAAGUCUGAGUUGAUUGUAUCGCAAUCAGUUAAAACUUUCAACAAUGGAUCUCUUGGUUCCGGCAUCGAUGAAGAACGCAGCGAAAUGCGAUAACUAGUGUGAAUUGCAGAAUUCCGUGAAUCAUCGAGUCUUUGAACGCACAUUGCGCCCCCUGGUAUUCCGGGGGGCAUGCCUGUCCGAGCGUCAUUGCUGCCCAUCAAGCACGGCUUGUGUGUUGGGUCGUCGUCCCCUCUCCGGGGGGGACGGGCCCCAAAGGCAGCGGCGGCACCGCGUCCGAUCCUCGAGCGUAUGGGGCUUUGUCACCCGCUCUGUAGGCCCGGCCGGCGCUUGCCGAACGCAAAUCAAUCUUUUCCAGGUUGACCUCGGAUCAGGUAGGGAUACCCGCUGAACUUAAGCAUAUCAAUAAGCGGAGGAA
RNAcentral lists this ribosomal RNA (557 nucleotides) under Aspergillus flavus. Its description in RNAcentral is "eukaryotic LSU rRNA". The stretch from base 175 to 328 matches the Rfam family "5.8S ribosomal RNA". Lineage: Eukaryota; Fungi; Ascomycota; Eurotiomycetes; Eurotiales; Aspergillaceae. The record is from RNAcentral.